Molecule: ribosomal RNA, 440 nt
Filed under: uncultured bacterium
Lineage: Bacteria
Description: partial 16S ribosomal RNA
Rfam family: Bacterial small subunit ribosomal RNA
Source: RNAcentral
CCUACGCGAGGCUGCAGUGGGGGAUAUUGCACAAUGGGUGAAACCCUGAUGCAGCGACGCCGUGUGUGGGAAGACGGUCCUCUGGAUUGUAAACCACUGUCCCCAGGGACGAAGAUGACGGUACCUGGGGCGGAAGCUCCGGCUAACUACGUGCCAGCAGACGCGGUAAUACGUAGGGAGCGAGCGUUGUCCGGAAUUACUGGGUGUAAAGGGAGCGUAGGCGGGACUGCAAGUUGGGUGUCACAUCUACCGGCUCAACCGGUAGCCCCACUCAAAACUGCAGUUCUUGAGUGAAGUAGAGGCAGGCUGAAUUCCUAGUGUAGCGGUGAAAUGCGUAGGUAUUAGGAGGAAAAGCAGUGGUGAAGGCGGCCUGCUGGGCUUUUACUGACGCUGAGGCUCGAAAGUGUGGGGGGCAAACAGGAUUAGAUACCCUGGUAGUC